This 1109-nucleotide long non-coding RNA is filed under the name Homo sapiens (human). Its description in RNAcentral is "HSALNT0339520". Lineage: Eukaryota; Metazoa; Chordata; Mammalia; Primates; Hominidae. The record is from RNAcentral.
GGCAUUUCCCCUGCUGGGACUCAUCCUUUCUCCUGCCGCCCUGUAAAGAAGUGUCUUCCACCAUGAUUGUAAGCUUCCUGAGGCCUCCCCAGCAUGCAGAACUCCCCUGGCAACUACCAUUCUAAGUAUCAUUUAUGUGAGUUUGACUACUCCAGAUACCUCAGGCAGGCAACUGCACCCCUGCUUCCUGAGCCACCUGGGACUUGAAGUUCUACCACUGUGGCUCCAAAGCUGCCCAACUAGAAACCCCAAAAGGCAAGAGAACUACGAUACCCACAAUUCAGGCUCCUCACCCGAAACCAGAAGAGGGCGUAUGGCUAGAGUUUCACCCUAAGAAGAAAGGGGAAGCAGGUGGAAAAGCAAUUAAAAAAAAAUCAGCAUCUCUCUCUAGCCUAUUAUCUCCUGUUAGACACAGCCCAGAAAAUGAAUAGAGACAAGUCCUGGCUGGGUCUGGGUUCAGAAACAUAAUAGAAGGAUUCAUCUAAUGGAAGGGAAUUCUUUCCACAGUUGCUAGUUCCUCACACCUCUGCCUCUAUGGGAUUCUCCUGGUCCCCACAUGCUCUGCUGUGUCUUCUAGCUGUCGGCCACUGUGGAGGAAGUGAACCUUCUAGAUCCUGCUGACUCAUACAAUGAGUUUUGUGUGGACCAUCAGACAAAAGGGCUGGCUGGUGAAGGUGGCUGUUGUCUGGAAAUUCCUCCCAGCUCUCCUCUAAUUAUGUCAUAAGGACUGGAGGCCCCUUAGCCUGCUUGUGAUAACACGCAAGGAAAUAUGGGCCAACUCUUCACAUGAACACAAGAUAUUUCCAUGCUAGCCUUUUGCAAGUAACAACAGAGAGAGCUCUGUGCAGUUUUCACUGGAAUGCCUGUGGAUUGCUUGUGUCAUAACUGUAAUCUAAAGAGUUGUCCAUUUGUUGAUUCCUUUGUAUUUGUAUUGGUAGAAUUGCCACUAUCAAACCAAGAUCUUUAGCUGCCUUUGUAUCAACUUCUUUGGAGCUUAUGUGAUUUUCCAGAAAAUUUCCAAGGCAUAGUUUUGUCCCUAAGUCCCAUGAAUAUGUAAUAUUUUGUGUCUCUCUAUUAAAAUAGCACUUUUUGUGCAUUCCAUUAACAAA